UUGUAGCGGGUAUAGUUUAGUGGUAAA
RNAcentral lists this transfer RNA (27 nucleotides) under Solanum melongena (eggplant). Its description in RNAcentral is "partial tRNA-Gly". The record is from RNAcentral. Lineage: Eukaryota; Viridiplantae; Streptophyta; Magnoliopsida; Solanales; Solanaceae. RNAcentral also lists the same sequence under 172 other names.